Molecule: ribosomal RNA, 519 nt
Filed under: uncultured bacterium
Lineage: Bacteria
Description: partial 16S ribosomal RNA
Rfam family: Bacterial small subunit ribosomal RNA
Source: RNAcentral
UGGGGAAUAUUGCACAAUGGGCGCAAGCCUGAUGCAGCCAUGCCGCGUGUGUGAAGAAGGCCUUCGGGUUGUAAAGCACUUUCAGCGAGGAGGAAGGUGGUGAACUUAAUACGUUCAUCAAUUGACGUUACUCGCAGAAGAAGCACCGGCUAACUCCGUGCCAGCAGCCGCGGUAAUACGGAGGGUGCAAGCGUUAAUCGGAAUUACUGGGCGUAAAGCGCACGCAGGCGGUUUGUUAAGUCAGAUGUGAAAUCCCCGGGCUCAACCUGGGAACUGCAUUUGAAACUGGCAAGCUAGAGUCUCGUAGAGGGGGGUAGAAUUCCAGGUGUAGCGGUGAAAUGCGUAGAGAUCUGGAGGAAUACCGGUGGCGAAGGCGGCCCCCCUGGACGAAGACUGACGCUCAGGUGCGAAAAGGCGUGGGGGAGCAAACAGGAUUAGAUACCCCUUGGUUAGUCCACGCUGUAAACGAUGUCGAUUUUGGAGGUUGUGCCCCUUGAGGCGUGGNUUCCGGAGCUAACG